UACGGAGGGUGCAAGCGUUGUCCGGAUUUAUUGGGUUUAAAGGGUGCGUAGGCGGCUUUUUAAGUCAGUGGUGAAAGACAACAGCUCAACUGUUGCAGUGCCAUUGAUACUGAAGAGCUUGAGUACAGAUGAGGUAGGCGGAAUUUAUGGUGUAGCGGUGAAAUGCGCAGAUAUCAGGAGGAACACCGAUUGCGAAGGCAGCUCGCUGGAACGUUACUGACGCUGAGACGCGAAAGCGUGGGGAGCAAACAGG
This 253-nucleotide ribosomal RNA is filed under the name uncultured bacterium. RNAcentral describes it as "partial 16S ribosomal RNA". It matches the Rfam family "Bacterial small subunit ribosomal RNA", at positions 524 to 776 of the family's 1533-position model. The record is from RNAcentral.